AUUCCAUGAAUGCCAGAGCACCUUAUCAGGGUGGUCCAAGAUCACACGUGUAUAUGAAAAAUAGCAUGUAAUCACGAUAUUCUGAGAACCUCCUGUUCAUGCAUUGCAAUCAAACUUGAAUCUUAUAAAUUGCCUCUGUCUUGGUUUGUAAAAUGGCUGUAUGGCGGAGGCAUCAUUUUCUAAUACGUGCAGUGGAAGGUCCAUCUAGUUUGAUAUUAUUAUAUGGAAUUUUAAAUAAUUUUCCUUUUUAACAGCUCCAUAGACCUAUGAUGCUUUAGAGGGUUUGAAGGAAGACGUAGAGAAGAUUUGGCUCCUAAGGAAGAGACCAUCGACUACUAAGGGAGAGAUCAUCAUCGAGAGAUCAGAAAAGACUUCGGCUGUGUUUGAAUCAGCAGAGAAGACGAAUAGCCCAACAGAAGACGUACAAGAAAUGGCUCCUGAGACCCAUGAUGCUUAGACGUCUGACGGAAGACGCAUAGAAGAAUUUGGCUCCUAAGGAAGAGACCAUCAUCAAGCUUGAAAUGACUGAACGUAUGUCUGACAAGACCAUCAUCAGCGUGCAUGUGAAGCCCCUACUCCACCUGAAGGUGCUGAUCCAGUCUACCGGUAAGAUGGUUCUUCUGGACAAACUAUUGCCAAAGCUCAAGGAAGGUGGCCACAAGGUGUCGAUCUUCUCCCAGAUGAUCUGCUGUCUGGAUAUCCUGGAAGACUACCUCAUCCAGAAAAGGUAUCUCUUUGAGAGGAUCGACGGCCGAGUAAGAGGCAACUAAAUGAGACGAGCUGCUAUAGCUAGGUUCAGUAAACCAGUUUGUUUGCUUGUUUGUAGAUUCCGAUCGCUUUGUGUUCCUACUGUGCACCUGAGCUGGUGGUCUAGGAAUCAACCUGACAGCGGCCGAUACCUGCAUCAUCUUUGACUCGGACUCAAAUCCUUAGAAUGAUAUCCAGACGGAGAUGAAGAGGUUAAAGGUCAGAGAGACGUUUUAUCCGGCUAUCUCCCAUGUCAAAUCAAAGAACGCCCUUGGCAUUUGGAAUAUUGGUCUGGAGUGGUGCAUGAGCAAUGAUACUGAAAUGAUGCAGAAUAUAUUUGAGGGUAUAUUACUCCUCGCUGUGAUUUCUCUAAAUGGAGAAGUGGCUUCUAGAAUGUAGCUGGAACCAGGUCAAUACUGCUCUGAGUGAUAUUGGAAUGGAGGAGAGUCCACAAGAAUUCGGGAAAGGACUUGAAUGAAACCAGAUUGGUGAUGUAAACAAAGAUAUGGAGACAUGGUAAUCAUCGUUUGCAUUGCUGGCCGUAGGAUAGAGUGACCGUUUACCUGAUGCCCUUUAUUGCCAUUUUUCAAAUAUAAUACUUCUGUUUCUGUAAAGUGCCUCAUAUACAUUAUGGAUUAUUAUGGCAAAAUCCAUGUAGUAUUAGUAGUAUAGUUUCAGUAGUAUAAUCUGUGUAAUAUUUGACCAGAUCACUUCAAUGUGCCUAAUAAAUAAAUAGUAUCUGCUGAUGUCCAAAUGAGAUAAAGCCAUGCAUUUUUUCAUUUUGCCUGCUCCUUUAUUUCAUUAUGGAACAAUCUUUGAAAAGUUAAAUUGUACUUCUGAAGGGGAUUUUUUGUUUAAAUAGAAAUUAGUAGUUUUUUAACUAAUUUAGCUACAGAAAGAUGGCACAUCAUAUACAUGUAAAAAGGUUAAAUGAUGUCGGUAAAAGUGUUAUAAACCCUAACUAGGUGGGUAGAAUUGAUCUUUAGAGUAGUGAGACAUCAAAUGUCACUCUACGUGCUAUACAAAAAUACCAUUAUUUUAAAAUUCAAGGUAAAAUAUCACAGGACCUUGAAAGUAUUUAAAAUUGUCAAAAAAUAUCUUGUUACUGCGAUAACUUGAAGAGCAUUAAAACAAUUCAAACCAAACUUAAUGGAGUAAAAGUAUUGUAAAACAUGUAUUUUGUCAAUGUGGAUGUUCAUCUUGAUGUUACUGUUAAUUUUAUGAUUAUAUGAUUGAAAAUAAAUGUAUAUAAAACAUA
Molecule: long non-coding RNA, 2005 nt
Filed under: Strongylocentrotus purpuratus (purple sea urchin)
Lineage: Eukaryota; Metazoa; Echinodermata; Echinoidea; Camarodonta; Strongylocentrotidae
Description: uncharacterized LOC115918328, transcript variant X2
Source: RNAcentral